AGGGAAAAGACAAUGCUCUACAUACACAGAGGACUGCAUGGAGGACGAGGCACAGGUGGGAACAAGGCGAUAAUUAAAGCAGACUCAGGUGAAGACGAGACAGGUGAAGACAAUCAGAGUAUCAGAGGGAAAACAAAGACAGGAAGGGCAAGCACUCAUGAAAGUAUAAGGGGAAGUGGAAAUGAGGAAGAGGAGGGAACUGUGAAACAUAGAAAAACAGACGGUGCCUGACGUGGAUCUGGAUAUGUGGUUCUAAAUGGAUGAAUAUCUGGCUCUAAGCGAUACUGGCAGUAAAAGAAUCAUUCUCAGCAGCCGUGAUGGUACUGGAAAGAUGCCUCGCUCCAUUAGAAACUGCAGUCCAACUACUUGCAGUCCAAAGUCACCAUAUUGAUCAAAAGCACAUGGACUCUGUGGGCAGUGAUUUGCAUUGCAUAUUCACCAGCUUCCCCCUGAUAUUCGGCUCCAUUGUGGCUUUAAAGUGUCAGGCUGAGACAUGGCUGGAUAAAGAGCGAGUGGGUAUGGUGCAGCAGCAGAAAAUACCUAGAUGUCCACCUGAGGACAUCCCAGUAAUUCCUGCCCAUGAGGAGAGUGGAAUCAUCCCAAACACCAGUGAAAUUUACACCAUUUUCAAUUCUGUCAGAUUACUUCAAGCACAACAUGAUUUACAUGUCAUUUACCAAGUUCUUAUGAACUUCUGCAAAGUUCUACCAGGACACAUCAAAAGCUGGUAUGAGAUCUAGGCUGCCAGAACAGCGCCCAUCUACAAAGUAUCGGUGACACUGGUGAGGUGUAUGCAAAGACACUAAGGGAUUACUGAAACGAUUACUGCCCAUAGGUGUGAAUGUGAGUGAGAAGGGUUGACUGUCUCUCUGCGACAGGUGAUCAGGUGUACCCCGCCUCUCGACCUAUGAGUGCUCUGCGUUAGGCUCCAGCCCUUCUGCGACCCUGAUAGGAUAAGCAGAAGAGGAUGGAUAGAUGGAAUUCUUUUUUCAGGGCAAAUUAUUAGACAAAAGACAAUGUUACACAAGUUCACAUCCAAAAAGUCUGGAUUUUCUUUCACAAAGCGCUCGAUGUAAAGGCCUUAAGUGUACCGUCUGUGUGAUGAGAGAGAAAAAUACAGAUGUUAAACAGGAAGUAUUUGUGUCUCUAAGAGUCCCUGACAUAAGUGUCAGCGUACAACAAAUGAAAGCUGGCACUCAUACAAACACAAAACCUGAAAGGCCCUGAUGUGUUCCUUCAUCACAAUAAGAAAAUCUAACUGUCUUUCUCCUGGUGUGUGGGUCAGGGUGAGACUUGGUCUAAGGGUCUUUCUUAUCAGGUGGAAG
This is a long non-coding RNA of Oreochromis niloticus (Nile tilapia), 1325 nucleotides long. RefSeq lists it as uncharacterized. The record is from RefSeq and is a predicted model, not a curated record. Lineage: Eukaryota; Metazoa; Chordata; Actinopteri; Cichliformes; Cichlidae. The transcript has 3 exons.